Molecule: non-coding RNA, 554 nt
Organism: Macaca mulatta (Rhesus monkey)
Lineage: Eukaryota; Metazoa; Chordata; Mammalia; Primates; Cercopithecidae
Source: RefSeq, a predicted model, not a curated record
UAGUAUAUGCUGCCUGGGUAUUUGUCAGCAUUAUUUUUAUUCUUAUUAUUUAUCCCAAUUAUGAUUAAGAUACAUUUUUCUACUUAUUGUCUGUCUUUCCUAAAUUAGAUCAUAAAAUUCAAAAGGGCAGGGACCAAGCUUUUAUAUUUUACAAUAUAUAACCAGUGCCUAAAAUAAGCUCAAAGCUGAGGUUUUGAGCGAAUGAAUGGAUACUUCAGUUAAUUAACAGAGAGGUAACAGAAGAACCAGAGCUUAAAAACUAUGAGACAUUUUGAUGACUGGUUGGGACAGCAAGCAUUCACUGGGAAGUAACUCAUUUCCAGGCUCUGGCAUCGGGCCAGGAAGAAUCUGCAAUCCCCGUGGCUGAGGAACUCACAGAGAAAUUCCAGUUGUAUUCUGAGCUGAUGUGAAUUAUUAUAAAUAACAAGUUUCAAGCAGAGCCUUAGGUAUGACUCCUGUCCUUGACUGAUUUUCAUAAAUCGCAAUCUGUAUUUGAAUAAUAGAUAUUUUCAUUAACCACAGGGUUUCAAAUAAAUCACCUUUUGCUUUCCAAA